GUAUAAGAGACAGCAGUAGCCGCGGUAAUACAGAGGGUGCGAGCGUUAAUCGGAUUUACUGGGCGUAAAGCGUGCGUAGGCGGCUUCUUAAGUCGGAUGUGAAAUCCCUGAGCUUAACUUAGGAAUUGCAUUCGAUACUGGGAAGCUAGAGUAUGGGAGAGGAUGGUAGAAUUCCAGGUGUAGCGGUGAAAUGCGUAGAGAUCUGGAGGAAUACCGAUGGCGAAGGCAGCCAUCUGGCCUAAUACUGACGCUGAGGUACGAAAGCAUGGGGAGCAAACAGGAUUAGAUACCCCCGUAGUCCCUGUCUCUUAUAC
Molecule: ribosomal RNA, 314 nt
Filed under: uncultured bacterium
Lineage: Bacteria
Description: partial 16S ribosomal RNA
Rfam family: Bacterial small subunit ribosomal RNA
Source: RNAcentral